Molecule: ribosomal RNA, 443 nt
Filed under: uncultured soil bacterium
Lineage: Bacteria
Description: bacterial SSU rRNA
Rfam family: Bacterial small subunit ribosomal RNA
Source: RNAcentral
GUCGAGCGGUAAGGCUCCUUCGGGAGUACACGAGCGGCGAACGGGUGAGUAACACGUGAGCAAUCUGCCCUUCACAUUGGAAUAACUUCGGGAAACCGAAGCUAAUGCCGAAUACGACCAUCGAUGGCAUCUUCGAUGGUGGAAAGUUCCGGCGGUGAAGGAUGAGCUCGCGGCCUAUCAGCUUGUUGGUGAGGUAAUGGCCCACCAAGGCGACGACGGGUAGCCGGCCUGAGAGGGUGACCGGCCACACUGGGACUGAGACACGGCCCAGACUCCUACGGGAGGCAGCAGUGGGGAAUAUUGGACAAUGGGCGAAAGCCUGAUCCAGCAACGCCGCGUGAGGGAUGACGGCCUUCGGGUUGUAAACCUCUUUCAGCAGGGACGAAGCGAAAGUGACGGUACCUGCAGAAGAAGCACCGGCCAACUACGUGCCNNNANNNGCG